GGGGUAAAAUCCGUCAGCAGAUUACUAGGCAAUACCGAAAGCCGCACAGGCGAUCUUCCUGGAACAGGACUGACGCUGAGAUGCGAAAGCGUGGGGCGAGCAAACAGGAUCUAGAUACCCUGGUAGUCCACGCCCUAAACGAUGAAUGUUAUCUCUGUUGGAUGCUACCCACUUCAGUGAUGCAGCUAACGCAUUAAACAUUCCCGCCUGGGGAGUACGGCCGCAAGGUUAAAAACUCAAAGGAAUAGACGGGGACCCGCACAAGUGGUGGAGCAUGUGGUUUAAUUCGAAGAUACGCGAAGAGCCUUACCUGGCCUUGACAUAUACCAGAAUCUGCCAGAGAUGGUGGAGUGCCUUCGGGAGCUGGUAUACAGGUGCUGCACGGCUGUCGUCAGCUCGUGUCGUGAGAUGUUGGGUUAAGUCCCGCAACGAGCGCAACCCUCGUGACUAGUUACUAACAGCAUAGGCUGAGGACUCUAGUCAGACUGCCUUCGUAAGGAGGAGGAAGGUGGGGACGACGUCAAGUCAUCAUGGCCCUUACGGCCAGGGCGACACACGUGCUACAAUGGGGAGGACAAUGAGAAGCGAAAUCGCGAGAUGGAGCAAAUCUAUAAACCUUCUCUCAGUUCGGAUUGUAGUCUGCAACUCGACUACAUGAAGCUGGAAUCACUAGUAAUCGUGAAUCAGCCAUGUCACGGUGAAUACGUUCCCGGGUCUUGUACUCACCGCCCGUCACACCAUGGGAGUUGAUUUCACCCGAAGCGGGGAUGCUAAAUAGGCUACCCGCCACGGUGGAAUUAGCGACUGGGGUGAAGUCGUAACAAGGUAACCGUAGGAGAACCUGCGGCUG
RNAcentral lists this ribosomal RNA (850 nucleotides) under epibiont metagenome. RNAcentral describes it as "bacterial SSU rRNA". It matches the Rfam family "Bacterial small subunit ribosomal RNA", at positions 678 to 1520 of the family's 1533-position model. The record is from RNAcentral.